This is a small nuclear RNA of Trichosurus vulpecula (common brushtail), 108 nucleotides long. The record is from RefSeq and is a predicted model, not a curated record. NCBI's taxonomy places the organism in Eukaryota, Metazoa, Chordata, Mammalia, Diprotodontia, Phalangeridae.
GUGCUCAUUUUUGAUAGCACAAAUACUAAAACUGGAAUGAUACAGAGAAGAUUAGCAUGGCCCCUGCUCAUGGAUGACAUGCAAAUUCCUAAAGUAUUCCAUAUUUUU